CUUGAUCGAGCCCAGCAGCAGCGGCCGCUCCCGGUCCUGACCGUAGGUGGCGAGCAGCGCCUGCGCCUC
This 69-nucleotide antisense RNA is filed under the name Actinoplanes awajinensis subsp. mycoplanecinus. RNAcentral's name for it is "ASpks TB sRNA". It matches the Rfam family "ASpks TB sRNA". The record is from Rfam by way of RNAcentral. Lineage: Bacteria; Bacillati; Actinomycetota; Actinomycetes; Micromonosporales; Micromonosporaceae.